This 506-nucleotide ribosomal RNA is filed under the name uncultured bacterium. Its description in RNAcentral is "partial 16S ribosomal RNA". It matches the Rfam family "Bacterial small subunit ribosomal RNA", at positions 29 to 523 of the family's 1533-position model. The record is from RNAcentral.
AUUGAACGCUGGCGGCAGGCCUAACACAUGCAAGUCGGACGGUAGCACAGAGGAGCUUGCUCCUCGGGUGACGAGUGGCGGACGGGUGAGGAAUGUCUGGGGAUCUGCCCGAUAGAGGGGGAUAACCACUGGAAACGGUGGCUAAUACCGCAUAACGUCGCAAGACCAAAGAGGGGGACCUUCGGGCCUCUCACUAUCGGAUGAACCCAGAUGGGAUUAGCUAGUAGGCGGGGUAAUGGCCCACCUAGGCGACGAUCCCUAGCUGGUCUGAGAGGAUGACCAGCCACACUGGAACUGAGACACGGUCCAGACUCCUACGGGAGGCAGCAGUGGGGAAUAUUGCACAAUGGGCGUAAGCCUGAUGCAGCCAUGCCGCGUGUAUGAAGAAGGCCUUCGGGUUGUAAAGUACUUUCAGCGGGGAGGAAGGCGGUGAGGUUAAUAACCUCACCGAUUGACGUUACCCGCAGAAGAAGCACCGGCUAACUCCGUGCCAGCCGCCGCCGUAA